GAUGAACGCUGGCGGCGUGCCUAAUACAUGCAAGUCGAGCGAACGGACGAGAAGCUUGCUUCUCUGAUGUUGGCGGCGGACGGGUGAGUAACACGUGGAUAACCUACCUAUAAGACUGGGAUAACUUCGGGAAACCGGAGCUAAUACCGGAUAAUAUUUUGAACCGCAUGGUUCAAAAGUGAAAGACGGUCUUGCUGUCACCUAUAGAUGGAUCCGCGCUGCAUUAGCUAGUUGGUAAGGUAACGGCUUACCAAGGCAACGAUGCAUAGCCGACCUGAGAGGGUGAUCGGCCACACUGGAACUGAGACACGGUCCAGACUCCUACGGGAGGCAGCAGUAGGGAAUCUUCCGCAAUGGGCGAAAGCCUGACGGAGCAACGCCGCGUGAGUGAUGAAGGUCUUCGGAUCGUAAAACUCUGUUAUUAGGGAAGAACAUAUGUGUAAGUAACUGUGCACAUCUUGACGGUACCUAAUCAGAAAGCCACGGCUAACUACGUG
Molecule: ribosomal RNA, 497 nt
Filed under: uncultured bacterium
Lineage: Bacteria
Description: partial 16S ribosomal RNA
Rfam family: Bacterial small subunit ribosomal RNA
Source: RNAcentral